Molecule: transfer RNA, 77 nt
Filed under: Phytophthora infestans (potato late blight agent)
Lineage: Eukaryota; Oomycota; Peronosporomycetes; Peronosporales; Peronosporaceae
Description: tRNA-Pro
Rfam family: tRNA (bases 14-69)
About the family: Transfer RNA (tRNA) molecules are approximately 80 nucleotides in length. Their secondary structure includes four short double-helical elements and three loops (D, anti-codon, and T loops). Further hydrogen bonds mediate the characteristic L-shaped molecular structure. tRNAs have two regions of fundamental functional importance: the anti-codon, which is responsible for specific mRNA codon recognition, and the 3' end, to which the tRNAs corresponding amino acid is attached (by aminoacyl-tRNA synthetases). tRNAs cope with the degeneracy of the genetic code in two manners: having more than one tRNA (with a specific anti-codon) for a particular amino acid; and 'wobble' base-pairing, i.e. permitting non-standard base-pairing at the 3rd anti-codon position.
Source: RNAcentral
GCAACACCCUUUCAGCUCAUUGGUCGAGCGUUGGCUUUGGAAGCCACAGGUCGGUGGUUUAAGUCCACCCGGGAGCA